AACUUGUUAUGUGUCCUUACAGCCAAUUACCUUCGCACUUGUAUAUGUUGGAACAACUUUGAAGGAUCUAGCUGAUGUUACCCAUGGAUGGAGUCAGUUUUCCAAAACUCGUUGGGCACUUGUUAUUCUGAGUUUUGUGGUGUCUGUGAUCUUAAUGGUGGUUGUUACCAAAGUUGCAAAGUCGGCUCUUGAAAAAGCUUUGGCUGAAGGUAUCGAUUCAGAUGGCAGUGUCGCCGAUAGCUCAUCUGUUGUGGAGGAAGUGCGGGUAGAUAUUCAUGAGUCACUACUAGUCAAAGGUUGAUUCUUGUUUAUGAACAACGAAUCUAAGGCAGUUAAAUGUUUUCUUUCUUAUUUUUUGUACAUUUUAUGUAUAGUUGAUUUCCCAGUCUUACCAUUUGUAGUACAGCGUCCACGAAAGUGUUGUAGAUGAUUAACUUAUAUUACUAAUUUAUAUGGUACGUCAUUUCAUUUUUU
Molecule: long non-coding RNA, 474 nt
Organism: Helianthus annuus (common sunflower)
Lineage: Eukaryota; Viridiplantae; Streptophyta; Magnoliopsida; Asterales; Asteraceae
Exons: 3
Source: RefSeq, a predicted model, not a curated record